This 253-nucleotide ribosomal RNA is filed under the name uncultured bacterium. RNAcentral's name for it is "partial 16S ribosomal RNA". It matches the Rfam family "Bacterial small subunit ribosomal RNA", at positions 524 to 776 of the family's 1533-position model. The record is from RNAcentral.
UACGAAGGGGGCUAGCGUUGUUCGGAAUCACUGGGCGUAAAGGGCGCGUAGGCGGCCGAUCAAGUCGGGGGUGAAAGCCUGUGGCUCAACCACAGAAUUGCCUUCGAUACUGUUUGGCUUGAGACCGGAAGAGGUAAGUGGAACUGCGAGUGUAGAGGUGAAAUUCGUAGAUAUUCGCAAGAACACCAGUGGCGAAGGCGGCUAACUGGUCCGGUUCUGACGCUGAGGCGCGAAAGCGUGGGGAGCGAACAGG